This 378-nucleotide ribosomal RNA is filed under the name Triticum aestivum (bread wheat). Its description in RNAcentral is "partial small subunit ribosomal RNA". The record is from RNAcentral. Lineage: Eukaryota; Viridiplantae; Streptophyta; Magnoliopsida; Poales; Poaceae.
AUGGCGGAGAUCGUGCACCAGCUGUGCCAAAGGAUGGGAUGGUGUUCUACCCCUCCGUGUCCUCAAAAUGUGCCAAUGGAUGACAUUCUCCAGAUUAACAAGUUCAUUUGUGCUGCUGCUCUUACGAUGUCUCGGGGCAUUGGGGUGGGCAAGAUGAAGGUGCUCAGCGGUUGCUGCAAGCGCUGUGAGGCCGGGCGGUGGAGGCGUAUGCAUGGGCCACAGUUCAGUUCUUUUGAAAGGAGCUCUUCCUCCGCCUCUGCCUGGGCGCGAUCUGCACUGUCAGUGCCAAAUCUUGCUCAUGGAGGGAUCAUAUAUAGCCAGACACUUAUAGUAGAUGAAGCUCACCGUUCGUAUCAUGAGAAUGUGGGAACACUCUAA